UCAGGACAGGUGUCCGCACUAAGUUCGGUAUUGAUAUGGUGCUCCUGGGGGACCCCGGGGCCACCAGGUCGUCUAAGGAGGGGUGCACCGGCCCAGGUCGGUAACGGAGCAGGUCAAAGUCCCCGUGCUGCUCAGUAGUGGGAUCGCGCCUGUGA
Molecule: small RNA, 155 nt
Filed under: Larimichthys crocea (large yellow croaker)
Lineage: Eukaryota; Metazoa; Chordata; Actinopteri; Sciaenidae
Description: Metazoan signal recognition particle RNA (ENSLCRG00005014781.1)
Rfam family: Metazoan signal recognition particle RNA
About the family: The signal recognition particle (SRP) is a universally conserved ribonucleoprotein. It is involved in the co-translational targeting of proteins to membranes. The eukaryotic SRP consists of a 300-nucleotide 7S RNA and six proteins: SRPs 72, 68, 54, 19, 14, and 9.
Source: Rfam by way of RNAcentral